Molecule: ribosomal RNA, 822 nt
Filed under: uncultured bacterium
Lineage: Bacteria
Description: bacterial SSU rRNA
Rfam family: Bacterial small subunit ribosomal RNA
Source: RNAcentral
CAGUCGAGGGGUAGGCAUCUUCGGAUGUUGAGACCGGCGCACGGGUGCGUAACGCGUAUGCAAUCUACCUUAUACUAAGGGAUAGCCCAGAGAAAUUUGGAUUAAUACCUUAUGGUUAAUAGAGUUGGCAUCGACUUUAUUAUAAAGAUUUAUUGGUAUAAGAUGAGCAUGCGUCCCAUUAGUUAGUUGGUAAGGUAACGGCUUACCAAGACGAUGAUGGGUAGGGGUCCUGAGAGGGAGAUCCCCCACACUGGUACUGAGACACGGACCAGACUCCUACGGGAGGCAGCAGUGAGGAAUAUUGGUCAAUGGAGGCAACUCUGAACCAGCCAUGCCGCGUGCAGGAUGAAGCAUCUAUGGUGUGUAAACUGCUUUUGUACGGGAAGAAAAAAAGCUACGUGUAGCUUACUGACGGUACCGUAAGAAUAAGGAUCGGCUAACUCCGUGCCAGCAGCCGCGGUAAUACGGAGGAUCCAAGCGUUAUCCGGAAUCAUUGGGUUUAAAGGGUCCGUAGGCGGCCUUAUGAGUCAGCGGUGAAAGUUUUUGGCUUAACCAAAAAAUUGCCAUUGAUACUGUAGGGCUUGAAUUAUUGUGAAGUAACUAGAAUAUGUAGUGUAGCGGUGAAAUGCUUAGAUAUUACAUGGAAUACCAAUUGCGAAGGCAGGUUACUAACAAUAUAUUGACGCUGAUGGACGANAGCGUGGGUAGCGAACAGGAUUAGAUACCCUGGUAGUCCACGCCGUAAACGAUGGAUACUAACUGUUUGGGCGAAAGCUUGAAGUGGCUAACCGAAAGUGAUAAGUAUCCCACCUGGGGAGUACG